UUAUCGGACCACAGAUGAAUUAUCACGUUGUGAUUGGUUAAACGCUGUCACGUGGUGACCCCCUAUGAGACGGUAUGGGGUUAGUAAGUUUCAUAUGGGGUUCAUGACACGUUAAUGGCGACGUCAUCUAUUAAUGUUGUUGUGUUUCAUUGUUUAUUUUUCAACAAAACGCCGCAGAAAAAGUCCAGCGUCCGAUAAAUUCGUUAUACGGUUAACUAAUG
This 221-nucleotide long non-coding RNA is filed under the name Mytilus galloprovincialis (Mediterranean mussel). The record is from RNAcentral. Lineage: Eukaryota; Metazoa; Mollusca; Bivalvia; Mytilida; Mytilidae.